UACGGGAGGCAGCAGUGGGGGAUAUUGCACAAUGGGGGGAACCCUGAUGCAGCGACGCCGCGUGAGUGAAGAAGUUAUUCGUAAUGUAAAGCUCUAUCAGCAGGGAAGAAGCAGACGGUACUUGGGGAAUAAGCCACGGCUAACUACGUGCCAGCAGCCGCGGCAAUACGUAGGUGGCAA
This 180-nucleotide ribosomal RNA is filed under the name uncultured rumen bacterium. Its description in RNAcentral is "partial 16S ribosomal RNA". It matches the Rfam family "Bacterial small subunit ribosomal RNA", at positions 340 to 537 of the family's 1533-position model. The record is from RNAcentral.